CUUUGUGGUUGCUGUGUUGGAGCUCCUCUUUGCUAAACCUGUGCCUGAACAUUGUGCCUCGGAGAGGAGCUGCCUUUCUCUUCGAGACAUCACGUCCAGCUGGCCCCAGUGGCUGCUCAUCCUGGUGCUGGAAGGCCUGUGGCUGGGCUUGACAUUCCUCCUGCCAGUCCCUGGGUGCCCUACUGGUUAUCUUGGUCCUGGGGGCAUUGGAGAUUUUGGCAAGUAUCCAAAUUGCACUGGAGGAGCUGCGGGCUACAUCGACCGCCUGCUGCUGGGAGACGAUCACCUUUACCAGCACCCAUCUUCUGCUGUGCUUUACCACACCGAGGUGGCCUAUGACCCCGAGGGCAUCCUGGGCACCAUCAACUCCAUCGUGAUGGCCUUUUUAGGAGUUCAGGUAUUUGUUCAUUUCAUUAGGUUACUUUUUCUGACAAUUUAUGAUAUUUUAUUCACUCAUUUAAAAACCAUUUCAUUAAAAUAAUUGGAAGCAUAUUCUCUCCUGUGCUAUGGGCCUAAUAUAUUCUGUUAUCUUUGACAGAUUGUGCAGAACCAAAAGUUACUGAAAUUCAGCACAUUCAAGUAAUUAGAUAUAAUUCUUAUAUUCUCAAAAAAAUUCUUAUUUAUAUGGCUUAUCUUAGCACGGCAGUUUCUAGAUAAAAGGUUUCCCUUGCCAAGCUGCAGUGGCUCAUGCCUAUAACGCCAACA
RNAcentral lists this small RNA (705 nucleotides) under Pan troglodytes (chimpanzee). Its description in RNAcentral is "retained intron". Lineage: Eukaryota; Metazoa; Chordata; Mammalia; Primates; Hominidae. The record is from RNAcentral.